UACGUAGGGACCGAGCGUUGUCCGGAAUCAUUGGGCGUAAAGAGCGUGUAGGCGGCCUUUUAAGUCCUGCGUGAAAUCCUGCGGCUCAACCGCAGACGGUCGUGGGAAACUGGAAGGCUAGAGUGCGGGAGAGGAGAGUGGAAUUCCCGGUGUAGCGGUGAAAUGCGCAGAUAUCGGGAGGAACACCAAUGGCGAAGGCAGCUCGCUGGGACGUUACUGACGCUGAGACGCGAAAGCGUGGGGAGCAAACAGG
This 253-nucleotide ribosomal RNA is filed under the name uncultured bacterium. Its description in RNAcentral is "partial 16S ribosomal RNA". It matches the Rfam family "Bacterial small subunit ribosomal RNA", at positions 524 to 776 of the family's 1533-position model. The record is from RNAcentral.